UUUCCCUUCCCGUGGACAAUUUUCUUCGAAAAAGUGCCCAUCUCCUCGAAUAUUAGACUCUCCACCACCACCGCCUCCGGCGAACCAACCCCAAACCAAGCCAAAACUACACCCCUAAACCACCUCCCCUCACUCUUUCCAACCUUCCAAACCAUGUCAUUCAAAUCCAAACGAAUCAGCUCGAAUAUUGAAGCAAAGACAACACUAAAUCCCGAAACUCACCGGAACCAGGUCAAAUUGGUCUCAGAUGACCCUCUCCCAUUCCUAUUCCCAACCCUACCAACCACGACCCUCAAACCCAACUGACUACAAAGGAAAACCAAAUCUGAGACCUUACUUGGUCUCAGAAUCAAUGAACCCCAUUCUGAACCCUUUUCCCUCUUCAAUACACAGGGCGAAAGCCUUAAAAGAGCAAAAUACCUCUCAAAAGGGGUCGGAGAGUCGUUGGAACUAGAAGAGUUCCAAGUCAAGAACUGCAUGCACAAAAGCUAAGGGUUUUAUGCCCUAAUUAUUGUCGAUGCUUGUCCAUAUUUCUUGUCUUUAAAAUUUUACUUGUUUUCUACGGUCUCAUCCUGUAGUGUGUUGAGUUGUCAUAUUUUUUUGCUAUAUUCUUUUUGUUCCCUUGGGUGUCACUAGUUUGAGUACAUUUGUCUUCUAUAAUCUUCUGGGUAGCAUGAUAUCAUGCUCAUACUUGCCUCUUGACUCUUUACUUGUUUCACCUCUAAAAUUCUGAAUGGUUUGUUGAUCCUUGUCUCUUGACUCUUCACUUGUUUAACCUUUAAAAUUCUAAAUGGUUUGUUGACCCUUGUCUCUUGACUCUUCA
This 823-nucleotide long non-coding RNA is filed under the name Nicotiana benthamiana. RNAcentral describes it as "long non-coding RNA (NBEN_LNC041134)". The record is from RNAcentral. Lineage: Eukaryota; Viridiplantae; Streptophyta; Magnoliopsida; Solanales; Solanaceae.